GUGCACCAGUCGAGAAAACUUCACACUGUGCGAAAGCACGAUGAGGGAAUCCCAAGUGCUUGCACGUAAGUGUAAGCUGUUUCUCUGUCUAAAACGCAGAGAGAGUAAGGGCUGGGUAAGACGGGUGCCAGCCGCCGCGGUAAUACCUGCAGCUCAAGUGGUGACCGUUAUUAUUGGGCCUAAAACGUCCGUAGCCGGUUUAAUAAAUGCCUGGGUAAAUUGUGUAGCUUAACUAUACGAAUUCCGGGUAGACUGUUAAACUUGAGACCGGGAGAAGUUAGAGGUACUCCUGGGGUAGAGGUGAAAUUCUGUAAUCCUAGGGGGACCACCAGUGGCGAAGGCGUCUAACUAGAACGGGUCUGACGGUGAGGGACGAAGCCCUGGGGCGCAAACGGGGAUUAGAUACCCGUGUAGU
RNAcentral lists this ribosomal RNA (415 nucleotides) under uncultured microorganism. RNAcentral describes it as "bacterial SSU rRNA". It matches the Rfam family "Archaeal small subunit ribosomal RNA", at positions 330 to 745 of the family's 1478-position model. The record is from RNAcentral.